Ictidomys tridecemlineatus (thirteen-lined ground squirrel) is the source of this 1553-nucleotide non-coding RNA. Lineage: Eukaryota; Metazoa; Chordata; Mammalia; Rodentia; Sciuridae. The record is from RefSeq and is a predicted model, not a curated record.
CAGAGGUCAGCUGAUCCUUUUACUGUCCAUGAGACACAUGUGUCAGGUACAGCUGAGCCCUGGAGCCAGUGUGGCUGGUCUUCUCAGUCUCUUGGCUCAGGUGACUGCUGUCUCCUUCGAGACUCCCUGGAGAAGAGCGAGGCUGGCGGUGAGAGGUCACAACCAUUGGAUCUCAGCAGCUUCAUUUUCCUCAACACAAAAAUCCAUGUUAAAAAUACAGAUGUGAACAUCUGGGGAGAUACGUGGGAACAGAAGAUGCCACUUAAAGUCACAGGGAGUGCGUAUGCCUGCAGAAGUCCACCUCAUCAGUUCCAGUUCUCAGUGAUGCGAGGUCUCAGGAAAGACCCAGACUUCACACGGGCAGCCACCCCACCAGAGGGCUGCCUAGGUUUCCACCAGGAAGGGUCACUGUUAUUUUAAGUUCUGAUCCCAAUACAAUUUCCAUAUUUCUUCAGAAGGGUCGCAUUCUGAACUGUCGGGAGAUCCUGAAAUCUUAAGAGUAAUUGGGGGACCUGAGAACUGGGGUGGAGGAGUGAAAAAGGAAGUUAUAAGAAGGCAGCGUCCCUGGACAGCUAAGGAGAGGGCUGCACUAGAAAGAGAGAAAGCAAGAGGACCGAGUUGGGUUCUCAGCAUAAAUCUGGCCCUUUUUUCUUUCUUUUCUCUUCUUUCUUCUUUUAUUCCUCCUCCUCCUCCUUCUUGUUUUAAUUUCCCAUCAAUGUAAGGAGCCCAGGGCUGGGAGACUCUUACUAAACUAUGCUUACUGAGUGCCUGUUGUAGCCAGGCACUGUGCUGGGCUCUAAGGUCACAGCAGAAAAUAAUAUAUAGCACUUCUUUGCAUGGCCUCAUGAAACUGUCUGCCCUGGGUGGGAGGUCAGAUGUUAGCUGACCAGAGUCAGAAAGGCCUUCCUGGUUUCUGUCCACUGAAUGUCCAGGAAAGAGAACUUUGGAGAGUUACAGUUUAAGCUGAGAGCCAUAAGAUGCAUUUUACAGAGAAAGGAAGAGCACCCCAAUAGAAAGGGCUGUCCCUGCAAAGGUCCUGGGGCAGAAAUGCACUUGGUGGACUCAAGGGGAUGGAAGGCAGCAGAGUGGGGGAAGCAGAGUGAGCAGGGGGAUGAGUAGGUUAGCAGGGGCAGUUGUGCUGGGCGAGUAGUCACCGUUGAAAGUUGGACAGUUAGGGAAAGAAUGCACAGAAGUGACAUGGUCUGAUUUAAGUUUUAGAGUCAACUUCUUGGUGAGUGGAGAAGGAAUUUGGUGAGGAGAGAGGCAUUGGGAGAAGCAGAGAUCCAGUGAAGAGAAGGAGGAAAAAGAUCCCAAAAUGGGUGAAUCUGGGAGCUCCUGAUCCAGGUGUUUUUAGCCCUGGAAUCAAUCCUCAGUUUCUCCAGCUGCUAAGUGAGAGCUACUUUAGAAUGUCCUCUUAGCUCUGUGUCCUCAGGGUGUGUCAAUUCUGGCCUUGCCUGCUCUUCCAAGGUCUAUGUCUGCUUCUCUUUUCUCUCAAGGCUGAGAAACCCUUGCUGGAAAAAAAUUUAUAAAUAAAUUUCGACUUAUGGCUUCAA